Long non-coding RNA from Megalobrama amblycephala (Wuchang bream), 3470 nucleotides. RefSeq lists it as uncharacterized. Lineage: Eukaryota; Metazoa; Chordata; Actinopteri; Cypriniformes; Xenocyprididae. The transcript has 3 exons. The record is from RefSeq and is a predicted model, not a curated record.
GGCCCCUUUAAGAAUGGUGCGUUCAAGUGUGGUGGGUUGGUACGUCAGGUAAUCACGUAACUAUAUAAGCACAGGUGAGAUCUGUUUCCUCGUGGUAUUGCCCUGAUGUGAACGGUUUGUGUGGGUUGUGCAUCUUUACUCCUAUAGAACGAUUAGUCGUGAGUGUCCAGGCAUGUAGUGAGUAUGUAAGUUACAUGUGCAUGAAAGAAGUUCCCAGCUGCUGCUUUGCUGUGGCUUAUAUACCCGUUCCAGUGUUGGGACGUUGAAGUGUUGCUUGUGCACUGUUGCUGUGAAAGCCUUCAGUCCGCUAUUGUUUGUACAUCGCUUGCCUGGGAGACGCAAGACUGUUGCCGUUGGUUCCGCUGCCACCUGGUGGUCAUUUGAGCCCGUCCAUCGUUCAUUUGUGUUGUUUGUCUUUUGUGUGUGUCUUGUUAAAUUUUGUGUGUGUGUGAAUGUGCAUGUGCGUGUGUGGUGAGCUGAAUUGAAGUUUGUUUUUUUUGUUAUAUUUACAUUUAUUUGUUUUUGUUGUUGUUGCUAGUUUGUUAUUGUAUAUUUCUUAUUUGUAGUAUUUGGUCUCGUUGAUUUGGGUAUUAUUUCUUUCCCUUUGCAGUGAUAUCGCUCACUUAAAGGAUUGACAAUCUAUAUUGGUUUAUUUUGGGUGUUUUUUUUUUUCUCUCUUUUGAUCUUGUUUUUUUUGUGUUGUGUUGGUUUGAAAUUAUUAAUAUAUAAAUUGUUUUUGUAAAUCGUUUGGUUGAUUUGGAGUGUUUAAAUGUGUCUUUUUUUUCUUUCACUCUUGGUUCAUGACUUGAGCUGUAGGAAAUGUUUGUAAAGAGGUAACGUCAAAGAAAGUAUCCGCUUCCAGUUAUUCUCUUUUGUUUUUUGUUUUUUUGUUUUUUGACCGUUUCUUUCUUUUGGUAUUGUUUAUCAGUGUUUAUCAUUGUUUAUCAGUGUUUAUCAUUGUUUAUCAGUGUUUAUCAUUGUUUAUCAUUGUUUAUCAGUGUUUAUCAUUGUUUAUCAGUGUUUAUCAUUGUUCAUCAUUGUUUAUCAGUAUUAUUGUUAUUAAUAUUUGGGUAUGAAGGUGGCCUGUUCAUUUUGUCUGUCUGACUAGACCAAAGCCAGUGGGCUGGUUGUAGCAUUGAUGCACGCUGCAAAGUAAUUAAGUACUCUUUGUGGGGACCCUAUAAAUAAGGUAUUUUGGCCACCUUUGCUGCUAAUGUCAUUGAAUGUUAGCUUGGCUUAAGCCAAGUGGUUGACCCUUAAGCAUAAUUUUUUUAUGAAUGUUGAGCUCAAUGUUUUAAUAGUGACUUGCUCAUAAAUAAACUUGUGAUCUUGUGGCAUUGUUUCUGCUUGUCCUUUUCAUUUAGUUGAAAGCCUGCUAUCAGGAGAAAAAUUUGGGGUUCUUUUAUUAACAGUAUAGUCUGUUUAGGUCCCGAUCACAAUUGGCGUAGUCGAGCUGGGUCAAAGAUUCAAGCAGAGACUGCCACAUAGAAAUUGUUCAAUUCUUUUUUGUGUUGUUGUUUUUUGUUUUUUUGUUUUAGUGAUUUUGUAAGUCUGUGGGGUGUUCUCUUUAUAGCAAAGCAGCAGCUGGUAAGACGCAGACAGUAGGAUUCUGGUAGUGGAUAAAACCAGGUUUAAGUGGUAAGGUUUCUGUUUUUUUUUCUUUUUCCUUGUUGAGUUUUUUUUUUUUUUUUUCCUAUAGUAAUGGAGGCUGAAUUGGAGGAGUUGCGAAGACAGGUGCAGUCAUUGAGGGGAGAAAACGAGCGGUUGCAUCAACAAUAGGCAGGCCAGGCUAUGGGAGCUGCAGGCCCCUUAACUGUGAAUGCCCCACCUGUCCCGAACCCUAUAGUUGAACGGGUGGUCUAUGUCCCUAGAGAACAGAGGUGCCGUAUUUUUAGUGGUAGAGGGGAAGAUAGUGUAUUUGAGUGGGUGGAGGAGAUUCAAGCUUGCUUGCGGGUCCGACAUCUGCCUCAUUUGGAACAGACUUUAUUUAUUCUUGACCAUUUAGAGGGUCCUGCUAAGAAUGAGAUUAAGUAUAGGGCAAGGGAGGAUAGGGAAACACCAGAAUAGGUCUUUUCGAUUUUGAAGGAACUCUGUAGGUGCCCACAGUCGUAUAUUGCCCUGCAACAGAAUUUUUUUUCCCCAUAACAGCUAGAAGGGGAGUCUUUGCAAGAGUAUUCCCAUGCCCUUUUUGCAUUAAUGGAAAAGGUAGUACAGCAGGCUCCAGGAGGUAUGCCUAAUUCAGGGGUUUUACUUCGGGACCAGUUUUUGGAGCAUGUACUUGAUAGUGGCUUGCGGUGGGAGCUUAAACCUUUUGUUCAAUUAAAUCCUGAGUCCACUCUCUUGGAUGUACGUAAAGAAGCCAUUAGGUGGGUGGAUGAAGGAUUUCAUUAUGAAAUGAGGGAGAGGAGUCAUUCGGUCCCAGCUUCCUCUGCUCUUCAGUAUAGAGUACAGGGACAGACAAAUUCCUCUGGCCCAUCGAGCGUUAAUGUUUCAGAGCUGACGGAAUUGAAGAUAAUGAUGCGGGCCCAGCAGGAACAGCUUAAUCAACUGACUCAAAGUUUACAGCAGCUUCAGUCUCAGAGUGCGGGAAGCCAUUCUAGGCGGCUGGGUCCUAUCAUUUGUAGGCGGUGUAAUCAGCCUGGGCAUAUCACUCGAAAUUGUUCUCUAGUACCAACUCAGUUUAGAGAUCAGCUGGCUCGCCCUUUGUCACAUGGUAGUGUAGUGCCUCCUAAUGGGCUGACGGAAAACUGCAACCCUCUGAACUGAUGAGCCACAGUUCAGAAGGGAUAGGGCCUGGCUCAUUGGCUCCUGCCCCUGUUAGUGUUGGAUUUUCCAAUCUGUUGGGUAAGUGCCCCUCUGUCAUAGUUAAUAUGGGUGGGGUUAAUGUUCCAUGUUUAUUGGAUACAGGCUCUAUGGUAACCACUGUCACAGAGAGUUUCUUCCUAGCACACUUUGAACCCUGGGGUAAGUAAAGGUUAAAUGACUGUGGAUGGUUACAGCUUCGUGCAGCUAAUGGUUUAUCUAUUCCUUUUGUAGGAUACCUCGAGUUGGAUUUUGUUAUCCUAGGUAGACACAUUCGCAAUAAGGGCAUCCUUAUUGUAAAGGAUCCUCCACAGGUCCUUACAAUGUCGGGGUUGCCAGGUUUAUUGGGGAUGAAUGUGAUAAGUGAGUCUUUUCAGGAGCUAUUUAAUCAACAUGGCCCAGAGUUGUUUGAUCUUCCAAUAGUCAAAGAAGCCCCCGCAUGGCAGUUGGCAAUGCAGUACUGCCAGAUUGAUUGCUCCCAGAAGUCAGAAUUUAUUGGGGGACCUGUUCGUGUUAGGGGUAGACAAGUGGUCCGCAUCCCAGCUAACUCCUUGCAGUUUGUUCCGGUUACUUGUGCUGUGCAGUGUGGGUCCCUGUCUAUGGCUCUGUAUGAGCCUUUGGACGAUGAGAACCCACUUCCAUCUGGCUUAUUGGCAUCUGUAUCCCUG